AACAAGAAAGGGAUGGCUUGCCUCUCGCCCAUCCGUUUGCGGAGUGCACGAGAGGGCAACAGGCACCUGAAGAAACAAAAACGACUCUCGGCAACGGAUAUCUCGGCUCUCGCAUCGAUGAAGAACGUAGCGAACUGCGAUACUUGGUGUGAAUUGCAGAAUCCC
RNAcentral lists this ribosomal RNA (165 nucleotides) under Swertia racemosa. RNAcentral describes it as "5.8S ribosomal RNA". The stretch from base 83 to 165 matches the Rfam family "5.8S ribosomal RNA", at positions 1 to 83 of the family's 154-position model. From Rfam's summary of the family: 5.8S ribosomal RNA (5.8S rRNA) is a component of the large subunit of the eukaryotic ribosome. It is transcribed by RNA polymerase I as part of the 45S precursor that also contains 18S and 28S rRNA. The record is from RNAcentral. Lineage: Eukaryota; Viridiplantae; Streptophyta; Magnoliopsida; Gentianales; Gentianaceae.